GUCAAGUUAGAGCUUGACAAAAAAGCAUUUUAUUUACAUUAAAAAGUUAGUUGUGAGAUUCAAUUUGACUUGA
Molecule: transfer RNA, 73 nt
Filed under: Dorysthenes granulosus
Lineage: Eukaryota; Metazoa; Arthropoda; Insecta; Coleoptera; Cerambycidae
Description: tRNA-Val
Source: RNAcentral